RNAcentral lists this unclassified non-coding RNA (324 nucleotides) under soil metagenome. RNAcentral describes it as "partial contains 5.8S ribosomal RNA, internal transcribed spacer 2, and large subunit ribosomal RNA". The stretch from base 1 to 120 matches the Rfam family "5.8S ribosomal RNA", at positions 35 to 154 of the family's 154-position model. The record is from RNAcentral.
GAUGAAGAACGCAGCGAAAUGCGAUAAGUAAUGCGAAUUGCAGAAAUCAGUGAGUCAUCGAAUCUUUGAACGCACAUUGCGCCCUGUGGUAUUCCGCAGGGCAUGCCUGUUCGAGCGUCAUUUCAACCCUCAAGCCCCGCUUGGUGUUGGGCCCCGCCCGCUGUGGCCGGCCCUAAAGACAGUGGCGGCGCCGCCUGGCCCUCAGCGUAGUACAUCUCUCGCUCCAGGGUCCGGUGGCCGCCUGCCAGAACCCCCCAACUCUGUGGUUGACCUCGGAUCAGGUAGGGAUACCCGCUGAACUUAAGCAUAUCAAUAAGCGGAGGA